RNAcentral lists this ribosomal RNA (253 nucleotides) under uncultured Lysobacter sp. RNAcentral's name for it is "partial 16S ribosomal RNA". It matches the Rfam family "Bacterial small subunit ribosomal RNA", at positions 524 to 776 of the family's 1533-position model. Lineage: Bacteria; Pseudomonadati; Pseudomonadota; Gammaproteobacteria; Lysobacterales; Lysobacteraceae. The record is from RNAcentral.
UACGAAGGGUGCAAGCGUUACUCGGAAUUACUGGGCGUAAAGCGUGCGUAGGUGGUUUGUUAAGUCUGAUGUGAAAGCCCUGGGCUCAACCUGGGAACUGCAUUGGAAACUGGCUUACUAGAGUGCGGUAGAGGGUAGUGGAAUUCCCGGUGUAGCAGUGAAAUGCGUAGAUAUCGGGAGGAACAUCUGUGGCGAAGGCGACUACCUGGACCAGCACUGACACUGAGGCACGAAAGCGUGGGGAGCAAACAGG